RNAcentral lists this ribosomal RNA (253 nucleotides) under uncultured bacterium. RNAcentral describes it as "partial 16S ribosomal RNA". It matches the Rfam family "Bacterial small subunit ribosomal RNA", at positions 524 to 776 of the family's 1533-position model. The record is from RNAcentral.
UACGUAGGGGGCAAGCGUUGUCCGGAAUCAUUGGGCGUAAAGCGCGCGUAGGCGGCCCGGUAAGUCCGCUGUAAAAGCCCAGGGCUCAACCCUGGAAAGCCGGUGGAUACUGUCGGGCUAGAGUCCGGAAGAGGCGAGUGGAAUUCCUGGUGUAGCGGUGAAAUGCGCAGAUAUCAGGAGGAACACCGGUGGCGAAGGCGGGUCUCUGGGCAGUAACUGACGCUGAGGGGCGAAAGCGUGGGGAGCGAACAGG